UUGGCCUACGGGACGCAGCAGUGGGGAAUAUUGGGCAAUGGGCGCAAGCCUGACCCAGCAACGCCGCGUGAAGGAAGAAGGCUUUCGGGUUGUAAACUUCUUUUCUCAGGGACGAAGAAAGUGACGGUACCUGAGGAAUAAGCCACGGCUAACUACGUGCCAGCAGCCGCGGUAAUACGUAGGUGGCAAGCGUUAUCCGGAUUUACUGGGUGUAAAGGGCGUGUAGGCGGGACUGCAAGGCAGAUGUGAAAACCACGGGCUCAACCUGUGGCCUGCAUUUGAAACUGUAGUUCUUGAGUACUGGA
RNAcentral lists this ribosomal RNA (305 nucleotides) under uncultured bacterium. Its description in RNAcentral is "bacterial SSU rRNA". It matches the Rfam family "Bacterial small subunit ribosomal RNA", at positions 334 to 653 of the family's 1533-position model. The record is from RNAcentral.